UAGUGGCGAACGGGUGAGUAACACGUGGGCAAUCUGCCCUUCACUCUGGGACAAGCCCUGGAAACGGGGUCUAAUACCGGAUAAUACUUUCUCCUGCAUGGGGGAGGGUUGAAAGCUCCGGCGGUGAAGGAUGAGCCCGCGGCCUAUCAGCUUGUUGGUGGGGUGAUGGCCUACCAAGGCGACGACGGGUAGCCGGCCUGAGAGGGCGACCGGCCACACUGGGACUGAGACACGGCCCAGACUCCUACGGGAGGCAGCAGUGGGGAAUAUUGCACAAUGGGCGGAAGCCUGAUGCAGCGACGCCGCGUGAGGGAUGACGGCCUUCGGGUUGUAAACCUCUUUCAGCAGGGAAGAAGCGUGAGUGACGGUACCUGCAGAAGAAGCGCCGGCUAACUACGUGCCAGCAGCCGCGGUAAUACGUAGGGCGCAAGCGUUGUCCGGAAUUAUUGGGCGUAAAGAGCUCGUAGGCGGCUUGUCGCGUCGGAUGUGAAAGCCCGGGGCUUAACUCCGGGUCUGCAUUCGAUACGGGCAGGCUAGAGUGUGGUAGGGGAGAUCGGAAUUCCU
Molecule: ribosomal RNA, 564 nt
Filed under: Streptomyces sp. 343A04
Lineage: Bacteria; Bacillati; Actinomycetota; Actinomycetes; Kitasatosporales; Streptomycetaceae
Also listed under: 1 other name
Description: bacterial SSU rRNA
Rfam family: Bacterial small subunit ribosomal RNA
Source: RNAcentral